This 496-nucleotide ribosomal RNA is filed under the name uncultured bacterium. Its description in RNAcentral is "partial 16S ribosomal RNA". It matches the Rfam family "Bacterial small subunit ribosomal RNA", at positions 28 to 506 of the family's 1533-position model. The record is from RNAcentral.
GAUGAACGCUGGCGGCGUGCCUAAUACAUGCAAGUCGAGCGAACGGACGAGAAGCUUGCUUCUCUGAUGUUAGCGGCGGACGGGUGAGUAACACGUGGAUAACCUACCUAUAAGACUGGGAUAACUUCGGGAAACCGGAGCUAAUACCGGAUAAUAUUUUGAACCGCAUGGUUCAAAAGUGAAAGACGGUCUUGCUGUCACUUAUAGAUGGAUCCGCGCUGCAUUAGCUAGUUGGUAAGGUAACGGCUUACCAAGGCAACGAUGCAUAGCCGACCUGAGAGGGUGAUCGGCCACACUGGAACUGAGACACGGUCCAGACUCCUACGGGAGGCAGCAGUAGGGAAUCUGCCGCAAUGGGCGAAAGCCUGACGGAGCAACGCCGCGUGAGUGAUGGAGGUCUUCGGAUCGUAAAACUCUGUUAUUAGGGAAGAACAUAUGUGUAAGUAACUGUGCACAUCUUGACGGUACCUAAUCAGAAAGCCACGGCUAACUACGU